RNAcentral lists this ribosomal RNA (730 nucleotides) under uncultured archaeon. RNAcentral's name for it is "bacterial SSU rRNA". It matches the Rfam family "Archaeal small subunit ribosomal RNA", at positions 146 to 859 of the family's 1478-position model. The record is from RNAcentral.
CUANUCCUUGAUAGGUGAGAACUCCUGGAAUGGAUUCUUUCUCAAAAGAUGCUUUGAUCAUGCUUCUAGGCAUCGCCCAAGGAGGGGGCCGCGGCCGAUCAGGUUGUUGGUGAGGUAACGGCUCACCAAGCNUCUGACCGGUACGGGCCGUGAGAGCGGAAGCCCGGAGAUGGGCACUGAGACAAUGGCCCAGGCCCUACGGGGCGCAGCAGUCGCGAAAACUCCGCAAUACACGAAAGUGUGACGGGGCUAUCCCGAGUGCCAUCCGCUGAGGAUAGCUUUUCCCCAGUGUAUAAAGCUGGGAGAAUAAGGAGAGGGCAAGACUGGUGUCAGCCGCCGCGGUAAUACCAGCUCUCCGAGUGGUGGGGAUGUUUAUUGGGCCUAAAGCAUUCGUAGCCUGCUAGCCAAGUCCUCCGUUAAAUCCACCGAUUCAAUCGUUGGGCUGCGGGGGAUACUGUCUAGCUAGGGGGCGGAAGAGGCCGACGGUAUCCCCGGGGUAGGGGUGAAAUCCUAUAAUCCCGGGUGGACCACCAGUGGCGAAGGCUGUCGGCUAGAACGCGCUCGACGGUGAGGGAUGAAAGCUGGGGGAGCGAACCGGAUUAGAUACCCGGGUAGUCCCAGCUGUAAACGAUGCAGGCUAGGUGUUGGCGCGGCUACGUGCCGCUCCAGUGCCGCAGGGAAGCCGUUAAGCCUGCCGCCUGGGAAGUACGGCCGCAAGGCUGAAACUUAA